RNAcentral lists this long non-coding RNA (849 nucleotides) under Citrus x clementina. RNAcentral describes it as "Citrus clementina (C. clementina) long non-coding RNA (CCLE_LNC005427)". The record is from RNAcentral. Lineage: Eukaryota; Viridiplantae; Streptophyta; Magnoliopsida; Sapindales; Rutaceae.
AUAUGCUGCCACGUCACCAUCAACAGUACAUAAGAAUUUUAGUCCAACAGGAUCGUGACACCUCAUCAGUCAAUGCCACAUCAUCCGUCUAUGUGAACAGUGUCGUGAACAGUAACGUAUACAGUACCGUACACGUGAAUAGUACCGUACAUGUGAAUAGUGCCAUUUUUCUUUUUAUGCUCCUCCUAAGGUUUUCGACCGUCCUGAGUUCAAAAGUGAUGUCCGUUUUGCCGUCUGAUCUCUCCUUUAUUGUGAAAUGACUAUAAUGCCCCUAAAAUACAUAAAAUACUUAAUUAAAAUAAAACACAUGUAAUUAAAUCACAAGAAGGUUAAAUAUAUAAAAGUAAGGGUUGUUAGUAAGACUUAAAAUGUAAAAUGACGGUUUUCUCCUUUAUAAAUAUGCAUUUUCUAAUACUCAACAGCACCCCCCAACCAGCUUAUUGCUAGUCCCUAGCAAAUAAAGCGAAAACAAAAUUCAAAUUCAAAAUAUUUUUUUUUGUUUUAAUAGAAACACUCGUAUUUAUUCCAUCAGAUUAAUGAUAACACUCAAAUAAAAGUAUAAGCAUUAUCUCCAGUCUAAAGCAACAUCACACCCACAUCAACCAUCCACAUGAAUUAGCCCAGUAGACUUUGUUUUAGCUACUCUCAAGAAUGACAUGUCAAACCCCAAAAUCUCACUGGAAGUAGUGACACUCUCACAAAUAAAUUAAUCCCAAUAAAAUUAGUCACUCCAAUGAAUGGUAAUUGAGAGAGAAAAUAAUAAAGAAGUGAUAUCACAUGCUCUCACCAAGAUGAAAUAAAUAUGCCCUCAGCUUAGAAAUAAUACGAUCUCAAGUCAAAUAAAAUGUU